RNAcentral lists this long non-coding RNA (533 nucleotides) under Elaeis guineensis (African oil palm). RNAcentral describes it as "long non-coding RNA (EGUI_LNC015396)". The record is from RNAcentral. Lineage: Eukaryota; Viridiplantae; Streptophyta; Magnoliopsida; Arecales; Arecaceae.
AUGAAAAUUUUAAUUACUAAUCCAUUCUACCUUCGUGAUGUCUGAUGUGAUCAAAUGAUUUUUUUUCUUUCAGUUCUCACAUCGCCAACUCCCAAUCAGUGGAAAACUCCACCAACUUGUAGGCCCAGGUGCCGCCUCCAGAGGCUCCACCCUUGUCGGGAGCACUGGUCAAUGCAGAAUAAUUCAACUUGCUUGACCAACAAGUCUAGAAUCUGACUACUACUAUUCAAACUAUGCAGCAAAGCAAUCCUGCACCAGCCAUUUCCAACCAUCUCUAGCCACUCCAACUAGAGUUAGAAAUCUCCCACAAUAGAUUAACGCUAGAGGAAGGGGUUGAACCUUCGACCUUGUGGUUAAUAGAUGCAAAAAUUGACCACAGACUUUGGGAGAUGAAUCAACAGAUUGAAGCCCUUCGCAAUGAAGCUUCAGCACGAGACGAUGACUACAACACUGAUCCACCAUUCAACACUCAAAUUAUGUAGGAACCACUCUCCAGCCACUUCAAAAUGCCAUAAUUGGAGAGCUAUGAUGGG